RNAcentral lists this ribosomal RNA (910 nucleotides) under uncultured cyanobacterium. RNAcentral describes it as "bacterial SSU rRNA". It matches the Rfam family "Bacterial small subunit ribosomal RNA", at positions 593 to 1501 of the family's 1533-position model. RNAcentral also lists the same sequence under 2 other names. Lineage: Bacteria; Bacillati; Cyanobacteriota. The record is from RNAcentral.
UGUUAAAACGUGGAGCUUAAACUCCAUCAAGGCAGUGGGAAACUGUUGGGCUUGAGUGUGGUAGGGGCAGAGGGAAUUCCCGGUGUAGCGGUGAAAUGCGUAGAUAUCGGGAAGAACACCAGUGGCGAAGGCGCUCUGCUGGGCCAUAACUGACGCUCAUGGACGAAAGCCAGGGGAGCGAAAGGGAUUAGAUACCCCUGUAGUCCUGGCCGUAAACGAUGAACACUAGGUGUCGGGGGAAUCGACCCCCUCGGUGUCGUAGCCAACGCGUUAAGUGUUCCGCCUGGGGAGUACGCACGCAAGUGUGAAACUCAAAGGAAUUGACGGGGGCCCGCACAAGCGGUGGAGUAUGUGGUUUAAUUCGAUGCAACGCGAAGAACCUUACCAGGGUUUGACAUCCUGCGAACCUCUAAGAAAUUGGAGGGUGCCUUCGGGAACGCAGUGACAGGUGGUGCAUGGCUGUCGUCAGCUCGUGUCGUGAGAUGUUGGGUUAAGUCCCGCAACGAGCGCAACCCACGUUUUUAGUUGCCAGCAUUCAGUUGGGCACUCUAGAGAGACCGCCGGUGAUAAACCGGAGGAAGGUGUGGAUGACGUCAAGUCAUCAUGCCCCUUACAUCCUGGGCUACACACGUACUACAAUGCUACGGACAAAGGGCAGCAAACUCGCGAGAGCUAGCAAAUCCCAUAAACCGUGGCUCAGUUCAGAUCGUAGGCUGCAACUCGCCUACGUGAAGGAGGAAUCGCUAGUAAUCGCAGGUCAGCAUACUGCGGUGAAUACGUUCCCGGGCCUUGUACACACCGCCCGUCACACCAUGGAAGUUGGCCACGCCCGAAGUCGUUACUCCAACCCUUGUGGAGGAGGACGCCGAAGGUGGGGCUGAUGAUUUUGUGAAGUCGUAACAAGGUAACC